AUUGAACGCUGGCGGCAGGCUUAACACAUGCAAGUCGAGCGGAGAUGAGGUGCUUGCACCUUAUCUUAGCGGCGGACGGGUGAGUAAUGCUUAGGAAUCUGCCUAUUAGUGGGGGACAACAUUCCGAAAGGAAUGCUAAUACCGCAUACGUCCUACGGGAGAAAGCAGGGGAUCUUCGGACCUUGCGCUAAUAGAUGAGCCUAAGUCGGAUUAGCUAGUUGGUGGGGUAAAGGCCUACCAAGGCGACGAUCUGUAGCGGGUCCGAGAGGAUGAUCCGCCACACUGGGACUGAGACACGGCCCUGACUCCUACGGGAGGCAGCAGUGGGGAAUAUUGGACAAUGGGGGGAACCCUGAUCCAGCCAUGCCGCGUGUGUGAAGAAGGCCUUAUGGUUGUAAAGCACUUUAAGCGAGGAGGAGGCUACUGAGACUAAUACUCUUGGAUAGUGGACGUUACUCGCAGAAUAAGCACCGGCUAACUCUGUGCCAGCCGCCGCGGUAA
Molecule: ribosomal RNA, 501 nt
Filed under: uncultured bacterium
Lineage: Bacteria
Description: partial 16S ribosomal RNA
Rfam family: Bacterial small subunit ribosomal RNA
Source: RNAcentral